UGCAUGGAGCAAGUGAGUGCCGGAAAGCUGUCAGGGAGGGCGUUGCCCCCGGCCUGCCCUGCCCAUCCCUGCUGUCCACCCUGCCAGGACCUGGCCUCGCCGACCCUGUGCUCCCCGCUCUCAGGCCCCCCAGCCUGUGGCAGGGCCGGAUCCCAGUGGGCUCUGCUGGCCAGUCUUGCUGUUUGGGCCAACAAGGUUUCCAGCCGGUGCGAUGGCUCUGAAUUCAUCCCGGGCAGAGCUUCGUCCAAGGGGCGACUGUUUGUAUGAAGACAGACGUGGAUAUGGAUUUCAAGGUGCUGGAUUUGUGCUGACUUGGUCCAAAACCCAGCCGCAUCUGGUUAUGUCUGGUGUCGACGGCUCCAAAAAUGUCCUGAAUUCCAGACAACCUCUUGGGCUUCGAAAUAAAAGUCAUUAAUCCUG
This is a long non-coding RNA of Chinchilla lanigera (long-tailed chinchilla), 420 nucleotides long. RefSeq lists it as uncharacterized. The record is from RefSeq and is a predicted model, not a curated record. Lineage: Eukaryota; Metazoa; Chordata; Mammalia; Rodentia; Chinchillidae. The transcript has 2 exons.